UACGAAGGGGGCUAGCGUUGCUCGGAAUUACUGGGCGUAAAGCGCACGUAGGCGGUCUUUUAAGUCGGUGGUGAAAUCCUGGAGCUCAACUCCAGAACUGCCUUCGAUACUGGAAGACUUGAGUCCGGGAGAGGUGAGUGGAACUGCGAGUGUAGAGGUGAAAUUCGUAGAUAUUCGCAAGAACACCAGUGGCGAAGGCGGCUCACUGGCCCGAUACUGACGCUGAUGCACGAAAGCGUGGGGAGCAAACAGG
Molecule: ribosomal RNA, 253 nt
Filed under: uncultured bacterium
Lineage: Bacteria
Description: partial 16S ribosomal RNA
Rfam family: Bacterial small subunit ribosomal RNA
Source: RNAcentral